AACGUAGGAGGCGAGCGUUAUCCGGAUUCACUGGGCGUAAAGCGCGUGUAGGCGGUUCGUCAAGUCGGUUGUGAAAGCCCCUGGCUCAACUGGGGGAGGUCAGCCGAAACUGACAGACUUGAGGGUCAGAGAGGAAGGUGGAAUUCCCGGUGUAGCGGUGGAAUGCGUAGAGAUCGGGAGGAACACUAGUGGCGAAGGCGGCCUUCUGGCUGGCCCCUGACGCUGAGGCGCGAAAGCGUGGGUAGCAAACGGG
Molecule: ribosomal RNA, 253 nt
Filed under: uncultured bacterium
Lineage: Bacteria
Description: partial 16S ribosomal RNA
Rfam family: Bacterial small subunit ribosomal RNA
Source: RNAcentral